UCUUUGUGCCCAUGUGUUCUCAUCAUUUAGCUCCCACUUAUAAGUGAGAGCAUGUGAUAUUUGGUUUUUUGUUCGUGCAUUAGUCUGCUAAGGAUAAUGUCCUCCAUCCACUUUCCUGCAAAGGAUAUGAUCUCAUUCUUUUUUGUGGCUGUAUAAUAUUCCAUUGUGCAUAGGUACCACAUUUUCUUUAUCCAGUCCACCAUUGAUGGACAUUUAGGUUGAUUCCACAUCUUUGCUAUUGUAAAUAGUGCUGUAAUGGACGUUUGCAUGCAUGUGUCUUUAUGGUAGAAUGAUUUACAUUUUUGACCCAGCAAUCCCAUCACUGGGUAUACACCCAGAGCUUUAAGUCUUUCAUGGAUGACAUAGCAUAGCUUUUGUUAGUCCAAUAAUCUGUACCCAGAAAGAAGAGGCAAAAAUCCCAUCAAACAGACCAUCAGUGCUCCAUAGCCAAUGCUUAUUCAUUUUGUUUAAUACUUUUUUUAAUUGGGAUUCUCCAGAACUUUAAAAAUUUAAAAAUAAAACAAAAAUAGUCUAACUACGCUCCAGACAUAGCACCUACCACAUAGUAGGCUCUUAAUUUAAAAAUUGUUGACUGACUUAUUGAAUAGCCUGCAAAGGUCUGUCUUGCGUCUAAUAAAUGUAUUGACUCAUUUCUCUUUCCAUUCAUUUAUUCAAUAACUAAUCAGUAAUUAAAAAGAAACACGGAGGAAUGCAUCAAUACACUUAUUAGAAAUAAAAUAGGCUGUUGUAGGUUAAUUGGAAACCUAGCCACUCUAUCUCAUAUUCUGUAUACGUAAGUUGGAGACUGCCAUAUGUUACACAUGUAUGUGUGAUGUGUACUUAAAAUAUAUGGCAUUUCUUCAUAUAAUUUGAAAUAUCUCUGUGAAGUUCAAUUUGCCUAAUUUUUAUAUUAGUUAACCUUUUCCUCCACCGGGAUAACUUCAGUUGGAAGAUGUUUCUACUGUCAAUUGAAUUUUGUAAUUCACUGUGUGAGAUAGAAAAAGACAUGGUUUCUAUACAUAAGGGGUGUGAUUUACAAGAGACUAUAUGCAUGUAUAUAAUGUGGAAAUAGUGCAAGGGACAAACCCAUACUUGUGGUUGCACAAGAGAGCUGGGGAAGAGUCCCACGGGGGUGUGCGUUGUGGGAAAGUUCUCCAGGGAAGACAACAUUUGAUUGUCUUGUGGUUGCUAAAAGGAUUCUUUUGAUGCCAGAUGGGCUUGAGUCCAAAUCUUGGCUCUAAAAUUUCCUUGCUGCCAUUUUGACCUUGGGCAAAAAUAUUAACCCCCGAACCUCCAUUUCUUCAUCUAUAACACAGCAGUAAAAUUACUCAUCUCUCUAGUCAUACUAACGGUUGUGAAAAAUGUCUGUUCUCUGAAGGUUUGGUGGGUUUCAAUAGAAGAAAAUAAGGACGUUGGAAGUGGGAAGUUAAGGAUGUCAGAGGCAAAAACAAAAAUGGGCAGGGCAAGGCAUGGCGUUUUCUCUGAAAACUUUACUUAAUCUUUUUAAAUAUUAGUUAUCGAUGUAUCUAUAUUUCAAAGUGCCAGACAUAAAGCCAUAUCACCUUCAGUCUAGUAAUAGUCAUGUACGGUGCUACUGUUGCAGGUCCGGGAAAAAUUCAGGCCAAUGUGAGCCUUUGAUCGCCACUGGAACAGUAAAUUGCAGCAGCAACAUCUAACUAGGAGUGCUGACUGCACCUCCAGCAGGCUCAGACUUGCAUGGCUGCCUGCGGGAAUGCAAAGCGUUUCUCUUACUCACAACCCUCCCCCUCACUCAUUGAUAGCCUAGGGCCAGAUUGGAUGUGGAGAACAUUAUUCCAGUAAAACGUGCAUUAAAAGAACACUCAAGGAGUUUAUUUUUUAACAAACUCAUGUUGUGUAAAAUGAGAUGAGGAUCUCAGAAACAGUUUUCUUGGCAUGGGCUGAGGACACGAAAUGAAAUUCUGCUGCGUCAUCUACUUUGAAGCAAGAAAAUAAUACUUUGACCUUAUGAAUGUAUUUGAUUCUAGGGAUAAAUAAACCACCUUAGAAGAUUACACAAUUCCCUUGGAUGACAAGUUAACUUUUUUUGGAUAAUGAUGGUCUGUGUAUAAGGGGAUCCAAAAUGCUACCUGUGCAUUAGUGAAUUAAUCAAAAAGUUUUUCUGGGUUUCCAAAGAGUCUACCACUGUUAUCGUAGUAUUCCUCCAUAAGGGCUCCAUCCACGGGUACCACUGGGAACUUCUGGCUGCAUUAAGAAUAGCCUGCCCAGGUCAAAAACUUACAAAGCUGCACUCAAAGAUUGCUUGAGUCCAACCUUUCACUUCUUCCUUCGUACCUCAAGUGUAGUCAUGGCAACCACCCUAAAGAAUAAAUAUAAACGUGAUGCCUGUGCCAAAGGUGAGUAAUUUGGAUCUGGUUGUGGCAGGAAAGCUGUUUUUAGGGGAGGAGGAGGAGGAGAAAAUAAAAGGAAAAGAGCAUUAUUUUUCUCCACUAAUCCCCUAUGAUUUGAUGUUUUUUACCAUAGAAGAUAAGAUUAGAAAGAGAAAAUGGAGGCUUUGUGAAGUGAUUAAAUCUCAAGGAGGCAAAAAGAAAGUCAAGUCUUACUGAUGGGUUCUGAAUCAGCUUAUGAAUUAUCUUCUGGCUUUCAAAGGGACUGCGUUAUUGAUGUGAUACCUUCCAUUUAUCUUUCUGCAUAUAUCAUACCUCUCUUUCAUUAUAAAGAAUAAAUCCUACUAUAAACUUUCUUGGUCCAUUACAAAAAAAUUGAUUUUUUGAUUUGUCCAUAAUAAACCCAGUGUGGAAGACUUCCUUUAUCUCACUAAACUUUUUUGGGGGGUCUGAUAUCAGUUACUCCCUUGGGAGCCAAUGUCAGGAUACACAGCACGGAAAGAGGGAAACGUGGAAGGACAGUCUCAUAGGCCAAGACCCCAAGUAACAUAGUUGAUCUGGCAUCAAGUGGCCAUCUCAGAAGUGUGACACGCUUCCUGUAUUAGUCUGUUUUCACACUGCCAAUAGAGAUAUACCUGAGACUGGGUGAUUUAUAAAGAAACAGAGGUUU
Molecule: long non-coding RNA, 3036 nt
Organism: Cercocebus atys (sooty mangabey)
Lineage: Eukaryota; Metazoa; Chordata; Mammalia; Primates; Cercopithecidae
Exons: 3
Source: RefSeq, a predicted model, not a curated record